CCUACGGGAGGCAGCAGUGGGGAAUAUUGGACAAUGGGGGGAACCCUGAUCCAGCGACGCCGCGUGAGUGAAGAAGUAUUUCGGUAUGUAAAGCUCUAUCAGCAGGGAAGAAAAUGACGGUACUUUAUAAGUAAGCCCCGGCAAACUAUGUGCCAGCAGCCGCGGUGAUACAUAGGGGGCAAGCGUUGUCCGGAAUGACUGGGUGUAAAGGGUGUGUAGGUGGCUUAUUAAGUUAGAGGUGAAAGCCCGAAGCUCAACUUCGGAACUGCCUUUAAAACUGGUUGGCUUGAGUGUGGGAGAGGUUAGUGGAACUCCUAGUGUAGCGGUGGAAUGCGUAGAUAUUAGGAAGAACAUCAGAGGCGAAGGCGACUAACUGGAACAUUACUGACACUGAAACACGAAAGCGUGGGGAGCAAACAGGAUUAGAUACCCCUGUAGUC
This 440-nucleotide ribosomal RNA is filed under the name uncultured bacterium. Its description in RNAcentral is "partial 16S ribosomal RNA". It matches the Rfam family "Bacterial small subunit ribosomal RNA", at positions 338 to 795 of the family's 1533-position model. The record is from RNAcentral.